CAGAGACGUGCAGGGUUCCUGCACGCCGCACAUGAAGAUAAAUCAAUCAGUUGUGUGGGUGCACAAGGUGACACCCACUCCUCUGAAAACGCUUCCACGCUCCGACUUCGCCGCAGUGGAAAAACCUGCCGCCUUGUGAGGAAGCAGCAGCGUGACAGUCGACGGAGGACCAACACACCUCAGAGACACUUCCAGAGAGGGGACAUACGUGAGAGGAAAGAGAACAGAUGCCUGUGCGUCGUCCUCGUGUUUGAGGUUCGUCUUUCCUCGCGGCGAUGCGCGGUCAUUCGGACAUGUGCGCCUUCCAGCGAGGAGCGAGAGGUCUCC
Molecule: non-coding RNA, 327 nt
Organism: Gasterosteus aculeatus aculeatus (three-spined stickleback)
Lineage: Eukaryota; Metazoa; Chordata; Actinopteri; Perciformes; Gasterosteidae
Source: RefSeq, a predicted model, not a curated record